RNAcentral lists this ribosomal RNA (234 nucleotides) under uncultured Staphylococcus sp. RNAcentral's name for it is "partial 16S ribosomal RNA". It matches the Rfam family "Bacterial small subunit ribosomal RNA", at positions 106 to 334 of the family's 1533-position model. Lineage: Bacteria; Bacillati; Bacillota; Bacilli; Caryophanales; Staphylococcaceae. The record is from RNAcentral.
GUGAGUAACACGUGGAUAACCUACCUAUAAGACUGGGAUAACUUCGGGAAACCGGAGCUAAUACCAGAUAAUAUAUUGAACCGCAUGGUUCAAUAGUGAAAGACGGUUUUGCUGUCACUUAUAGAUGGAUCCGCGCCGCAUUAGCUAGUUGGUAAGGUAACGGCUUACCAAGGCAACGAUGCGUAGCCGACCUGAGAGGGUGAUCGGCCACACUGGAACUGAGACACGGUCCAG